This 74-nucleotide transfer RNA is filed under the name Thermoplasmatota archaeon. Its description in RNAcentral is "tRNA-Lys". It matches the Rfam family "tRNA". Rfam says of the family: Transfer RNA (tRNA) molecules are approximately 80 nucleotides in length. Their secondary structure includes four short double-helical elements and three loops (D, anti-codon, and T loops). Further hydrogen bonds mediate the characteristic L-shaped molecular structure. tRNAs have two regions of fundamental functional importance: the anti-codon, which is responsible for specific mRNA codon recognition, and the 3' end, to which the tRNAs corresponding amino acid is attached (by aminoacyl-tRNA synthetases). tRNAs cope with the degeneracy of the genetic code in two manners: having more than one tRNA (with a specific anti-codon) for a particular amino acid; and 'wobble' base-pairing, i.e. permitting non-standard base-pairing at the 3rd anti-codon position. The record is from RNAcentral. Lineage: Archaea; Methanobacteriati; Thermoplasmatota. RNAcentral also lists the same sequence under 2 other names.
GGGCCUGUAGCUCAGCCAGGGAGAGCACCUGGCUUUUAACCAGGUGGCCUGGGGUUCGAAUCCCCACAGGCCCG